RNAcentral lists this signal recognition particle RNA (89 nucleotides) under Myxococcales bacterium. Its description in RNAcentral is "signal recognition particle sRNA small type". It matches the Rfam family "Bacterial small signal recognition particle RNA". Rfam says of the family: The signal recognition particle (SRP) is a universally conserved ribonucleoprotein involved in the co-translational targeting of proteins to membranes. Lineage: Bacteria; Pseudomonadati; Myxococcota; Myxococcia; Myxococcales. The record is from RNAcentral.
GCUGGCCCUGCCAACAGUGACGCGUGAACCCCGCCAGGCCCGGAAGGGAGCAACGGUAGCGCGACCCACUGUGUGGCGGGGCCUUUUUU